Molecule: ribosomal RNA, 441 nt
Filed under: uncultured bacterium
Lineage: Bacteria
Description: bacterial SSU rRNA
Rfam family: Bacterial small subunit ribosomal RNA
Source: RNAcentral
AACGCGAAGAACCUUACCUACCCUUGACAUCCUCGGAAGCUGCUAGAGAUAGUGGUGUGCCGUGAGGAACCGAGAGACAGGUGCUGCAUGGCUGUCGUCAGCUCGUGUCGUGAGAUGUUGGGUUAAGUCCCGUAACGAGCGCAACCCUUGUCCUUAGUUGCUAACGGGUAAAGCUGAGAACUCUAAGGAGACUGCCGGUGACAAGCCGGAGGAAGGUGGGGAUGACGUCAAGUCCUCAUGGCCCUUACGGGUAGGGCUACACACGUGCUACAAUGGGCGGUACAAAGGGAAGCGAAACCGCGAGGUGGAGCGAAUCCUAUUAAAGCUGCCCGUAGUCCGGAUUGGAGUCUGCAACUCGACUCCAUGAAGUUGGAAUCGCUAGUAAUCGUAGAUCAGAACGCUACGGUGAAUACGUUCCCGGGCCUUGUACACACCGCACGA